GAUGAAGAACGUAGCGAAAUGCGAUACGUAAUGUGAAUUGCAGAAUUCAGUGAAUCAUCGAAUCUUUGAACGCAUAUUGCGCUCUCUGGUAUUCCGGAGAGCAUGCUUGUUUGAGUAUCAGUAAACACCUCAACUUCCAUAUCUUUUUUGAAAUGGGAGUUGGACUUGAGUGAUCCCAACGCUUUUCCUCACCGAAAAGUGGCGGGUUACUUGAAAUGCAGGUGCAGCUGGACUUUUCUCUGGGCUAUAAGCAUAUCUAUUUAGUCUGCCUAAAAAACAGAUUAUUACCUUUGCUGCAGCUAACAUAAAGGAGAUUAGUUCUUGUGCUGACUGAUGCAGGAUUCACAAAGACAGCUUCGGCCGACUUUGUAAACUCGAUCUCAAAUCAAGUAAGACUACCCGCUGAACUUAAGCAUAUCAAUAAGCGGAGGA
Molecule: unclassified non-coding RNA, 432 nt
Filed under: soil metagenome
Description: partial contains 5.8S ribosomal RNA, internal transcribed spacer 2, and large subunit ribosomal RNA
Rfam family: 5.8S ribosomal RNA (bases 1-120)
Source: RNAcentral